GUUUGGGGGUUGGUGGAAGGCUGGUAAACCGUUUGGUUUUCGACCACUACGACCCGGGUUCGAUUCCCGCAUUGGACA
RNAcentral lists this transfer RNA (78 nucleotides) under Cordylochernes scorpioides. RNAcentral's name for it is "tRNA-Glu". The record is from RNAcentral. Lineage: Eukaryota; Metazoa; Arthropoda; Arachnida; Pseudoscorpiones; Chernetidae.